UAGAUUGAGAAAGUAUUAGUUGCUUAUAAUUCAUUCGAGAAUGACCAUAUCCAAAUUGUGGCAUUACAAUUUCAUUCCCUCGAUAUAUAAAGCAAAUAUAUUUCGCUUUUUCGUUAGUACGACAAACGUUAUAAUACUAUAUUUAUACGAUCUGGAUAGAAAAAAAAUUAAUGAUAUGGCCAGAAAGAAGUUAAGUUUAACUACCCUUCUUCUAUUCUCAAUAAUUUUAAUUAACUCGGUAACAUCCAAAUCGACAAAUAAUUACGAAGAAACUUCUGACAACUAUUCAGAUCAGAAUCGUGGUAGAGUACAAAUUAAAGUUUAUAGAGGACCAAAUAAUGAAAAAUUUGCCCCCUGGGGAUUUUGGGUUAAACAGCCAGCCNA
Molecule: long non-coding RNA, 384 nt
Organism: Agrilus planipennis (emerald ash borer)
Lineage: Eukaryota; Metazoa; Arthropoda; Insecta; Coleoptera; Buprestidae
Exons: 3
Source: RefSeq, a predicted model, not a curated record